RNAcentral lists this transfer RNA (76 nucleotides) under Calothrix sp. NIES-2100. Its description in RNAcentral is "tRNA-Arg". It matches the Rfam family "tRNA". From Rfam's summary of the family: Transfer RNA (tRNA) molecules are approximately 80 nucleotides in length. Lineage: Bacteria; Bacillati; Cyanobacteriota; Cyanophyceae; Nostocales; Calotrichaceae. The record is from RNAcentral.
UGGGGCUGUGGCUCAGUUGGAUAGAGCAAGCGCCUCCUAAGCGCUAGGCCGCGCGUUCAAAUCGCGCCAGUCCCGU